RNAcentral lists this ribosomal RNA (881 nucleotides) under uncultured marine group I thaumarchaeote. RNAcentral describes it as "bacterial SSU rRNA". It matches the Rfam family "Archaeal small subunit ribosomal RNA", at positions 36 to 923 of the family's 1478-position model. The record is from RNAcentral. Lineage: Archaea; Thermoproteati; Nitrososphaerota.
GAUUGAUACUAAGCCAUGCGAGUCUUUGCAGUAAUGCAAGGCAUACGGCUCAGUAACACGUAGUCAACUUACCCUAUGGACGAGGAUAAUCUCGGGAAACUGAGCAUAAUACUCGAUAGAUCAUAAUGCCUGGAAUGGUUUAUGGUUGAAACGAUUCGUCGCCAUAGGAUAGGACCGCGGCCUAUCAGCUUGUUGGUGAGGUAAUGGCCCACCAAGGCGAUUACAGGUACGGGCUCUGAGAGGAGAAGCCCGGAGAUGGGUACUGAGACAAGGACCCAGGCCCUAUGGGGCGCAGCAGGCGAGAAAACUUUGCAAUGUGCGAAAGCACGACAAGGUUAAUCCGAGUGAUUUCUGCUAAAGAAAUCUUUUGCAAGUCAUAAAACCACUAGUGAAUAAGGGGUGGGCAAGUUCUGGUGUCAGCCGCCGCGGUAAAACCAGCACCUCAAGUGGUCAGGAGGAUUAUUGGGCCUAAAGCAUCCGUAGCCGGCUCUGUAAGUUUUCGGUUAAAUCCAUGUGCUCAACGCAUGGGCCGCCGAAAAUACUGCAUGGCUAGGGAGUGGGAGAGGUAGACGGUACUCAGUAGGAAGGGGUAAAAUCCUUUGAUCUAUCGAUGACCACCUGUGGCGAAGGCGGUCUACCAGAACACGUUCGACGGUGAGGGAUGAAAGCUGGGGGAGCAAACCGGAUUAGAUACCCGGGUAGUCCCAGCUGUAAACUAUGCAAACUCAGUGAUGCAUUGGCUUGUGGCCAAUGCAGUAUUGCAGGGAAGCCGUUAAGUUUGCCGCCUGGGAAGUACGUACGCAAGUAUGAAACUUAAAGGAAUUGGCGGGGGAGCACCACAAGGGGUGAAGCCUGCGGUUCAAUUGGAUUCAACGCCGGGA